CGGGACACGUGGUAUCCUGUCUGAAUAUGGGGGGACCAUCCUCCAAGGCUAAAUACUCCUGACUGACCGAUAGUGAACCAGUACCGUGAGGGAAAGGCGAAAAGAACCCCGGCGAGGGGAGUGAAAAAGAACCUGAAACCGUGUACGUACAAGCAGUGGGAGCACAGAGCAAUCUGUGUGACUGCGUACCUUUUGUAUAAUGGGUCAGCGACUUAUAUUCUGUAGCAAGGUUAACCGAAUAGGGGAGCCGAAGGGAAACCGAGUCUUAACUGGGCGUUAAGUUGCAGGGUAUAGACCCGAAACCCGGUGAUCUAGCCAUGGGCAGGUUGAAGGUUGGGUAACACUAACUGGAGGACCGAACCGACUAAUGUUGAAAAAUUAGCGGAUGACUUGUGGCUGGGGGUGAAAGGCCAAUCAAACCGGGAGAUAGCUGGUUCUCCCCGAAAGCUAUUUAGGUAGCGCCUCGUGAAUUCAUCUCCGGGGGUAGAGCACUGUUUCGGCAAGGGGGUCAUCCCGACUUACCAACCCGAUGCAAACUGCGAAUACCGGAGAAUGUUAUCACGGGAGACACACGGCGGGUGCUAACGUCCGUCGUGAAGAGGGAAACAACCCAGACCGCCAGCUAAGGUCCCAAAGUCAUGGUUAAGUGGGAAACGAUGUGGGAAGGCCCAGACAGCCAGGAUGUUGGCUUAGAAGCAGCCAUCAUUUAAAGAAAGCG
Molecule: ribosomal RNA, 718 nt
Filed under: Escherichia coli
Lineage: Bacteria; Pseudomonadati; Pseudomonadota; Gammaproteobacteria; Enterobacterales; Enterobacteriaceae
Description: partial 23S ribosomal RNA
Rfam family: Bacterial large subunit ribosomal RNA
Source: RNAcentral